This 1302-nucleotide ribosomal RNA is filed under the name metagenome. RNAcentral's name for it is "bacterial SSU rRNA". It matches the Rfam family "Bacterial small subunit ribosomal RNA", at positions 8 to 1332 of the family's 1533-position model. The record is from RNAcentral.
AGAGUUUGAUCCUGGCUCAGGACGAACGCUGGCGGCGCGCCUAACACAUGCAAGUCGAACGAGCGAGAGAGAGCUUGCUUUCUCAAGCGAGUGGCGAACGGGUGAGUAACGCGUGAGGAACCUGCCUCAAAGAGGGGGACAACAGUUGGAAACGACUGCUAAUACGCAUAAGCCCACGGCUCGGCAUCGAGCAGAGGGAAAAGGAGCAAUCCGCUUUGAGAUGGCCUCGCGUCCGAUUAGCUAGUUGGUGAGGUAAUGGCCCACCAAGGCGACGAUCGGUAGCCGGACUGAGAGGUUGAACGGCCACAUUGGGACUGAGACACGGCCCAGACUCCUACGGGAGGCAGCAGUGGGGAAUAUUGCACAAUGGGGGAAACCCUGAUGCAGCGACGCCGCGUGGAGGAAGAAGGUCUUCGGAUUGUAAACUCCUGUUGUUGGGGAAGAUAAUGACGGUACCCAACAAGGAAGUGACGGCUAACUACGUGCCAGCAGCCGCGGUAAAACGUAGGUCACAAGCGUUGUCCGGAAUUACUGGGUGUAAAGGGAGCGCAGGCGGGAAGACAAGUUGGAAGUGAAAUCUAUGGGCUCAACCCAUAAACUGCUUUCAAAACUGUUUUUCUUGAGUAGUGCAGAGGUAGGCGGAAUUCCCGGUGUAGCGGUGGAAUGCGUAGAUAUCGGGAGGAACACCAGUGGCGAAGGCGGCCUACUGGGCACCAACUGACGCUGAGGCUCGAAAGUGUGGGUAGCAAACAGGAUUAGAUACCCUGGUAGUCCACACCGUAAACGAUGAUUACUAGGUGUUGGAGGAUUGACCCCUUCAGUGCCGCAGUUAACACAAUAAGUAAUCCACCUGGGGAGUACGACCGCAAGGUUGAAACUCAAAGGAAUUGACGGGGGCCCGCACAAGCAGUGGAGUAUGUGGUUUAAUUCGACGCAACGCGAAGAACCUUACCAAGUCUUGACAUCCCUUGACGAUGCUGGAAACAGUGUUUCUCUUCGGAGCAAGGAGACAGGUGGUGCAUGGUUGUCGUCAGCUCGUGUCGUGAGAUGUUGGGUUAAGUCCCGCAACGAGCGCAACCCUUAUGGUCAGUUACUACGCAAGAGGACUCUGGCCAGACUGCCGUUGACAAAACGGAGGAAGGUGGGGAUGACGUCAAAUCAUCAUGCCCUUUAUGACUUGGGCUACACACGUACUACAAUGGCGUUAAACAAAGAGAAGCAAGACCGCGAGGUGGAGCAAAACUCAGAAACAACGUCCCAGUUCGGACUGCAGGCUGCAACUCGCCUGCACGAAGUCGGAAU